AGAGUUUUAAGUUAAAAUAAACUAUAAGUUUUCAAGACUUAUUAUAAAUAUUAUGUUUAAAUUCUG
RNAcentral lists this transfer RNA (66 nucleotides) under Macrotritopus defilippi. RNAcentral describes it as "tRNA-Trp". The record is from RNAcentral. Lineage: Eukaryota; Metazoa; Mollusca; Cephalopoda; Octopoda; Octopodidae.